GGCUUUGUAGCUCAGCUGGUACAGCGCUUGCCGCGUAGAGGCAUGGUGUUUCUGUCGUUGGCUUGAAUCCAGCCGAAGCCC
RNAcentral lists this transfer RNA (81 nucleotides) under Paragonimus heterotremus. RNAcentral's name for it is "tRNA-Tyr". Lineage: Eukaryota; Metazoa; Platyhelminthes; Trematoda; Plagiorchiida; Troglotrematidae. The record is from RNAcentral.